GGCGUCGUAGCUCAGUUGGUAGAGCCGAGGACUGAAAAUCCUUGUGUCACUGGUUCAAUUCCAGUCGAUGCCA
This 73-nucleotide transfer RNA is filed under the name Bacteroidales bacterium. Its description in RNAcentral is "tRNA-Phe". It matches the Rfam family "tRNA". From Rfam's summary of the family: Transfer RNA (tRNA) molecules are approximately 80 nucleotides in length. Their secondary structure includes four short double-helical elements and three loops (D, anti-codon, and T loops). Further hydrogen bonds mediate the characteristic L-shaped molecular structure. tRNAs have two regions of fundamental functional importance: the anti-codon, which is responsible for specific mRNA codon recognition, and the 3' end, to which the tRNAs corresponding amino acid is attached (by aminoacyl-tRNA synthetases). tRNAs cope with the degeneracy of the genetic code in two manners: having more than one tRNA (with a specific anti-codon) for a particular amino acid; and 'wobble' base-pairing, i.e. permitting non-standard base-pairing at the 3rd anti-codon position. The record is from RNAcentral. Lineage: Bacteria; Pseudomonadati; Bacteroidota; Bacteroidia; Bacteroidales.